GUCCACGCCCUAAACGAUGUCUACUAGUUGUUGGGUCUUAAUUGACUUAGUAACGCAGCUAACGCGUGAAGUAGACCGCCUGGGGAGUACGGUCGCAAGAUUAAAACUCAAAGGAAUUGACGGGACCCGCACAAGCGGUGGAUGAUGUGGAUUAAUUCGAUGCAACGCGAAAACCUUACCUACCCUUGACAUGGUUGGAAUCCCGAAGAGAUUUGGGAGUGCCCGCAAGGGAGCCAAUACACAGGUGCUGCAUGGCUGUCGU
This 262-nucleotide ribosomal RNA is filed under the name uncultured bacterium. Its description in RNAcentral is "partial 16S ribosomal RNA". It matches the Rfam family "Bacterial small subunit ribosomal RNA", at positions 793 to 1055 of the family's 1533-position model. The record is from RNAcentral.